UACAGAGGGCGCAAGCGUUAAUCGGACUUACUGGGCGUAAAGGGUGCGUAGGCGGGAGCUUAAGUUAGUUGUGAAAGGCCCGGGCUUAACCUUGGAAUUGCAAUUAAGACUGGGCAUCUAGGGUUGAGUAGAGGGGAGCGGAAGUUCCGGUGGAGCGGUGAAAUGCGUAGAUAUCGGAAGGAACACCUGUUGCGAAUGCGGCUCUCUGGACUCAAACUGACGCUGAGGCUCGAAAGCGUGGGUAGCGAACAGC
This 253-nucleotide ribosomal RNA is filed under the name uncultured bacterium. RNAcentral's name for it is "partial 16S ribosomal RNA". It matches the Rfam family "Bacterial small subunit ribosomal RNA", at positions 524 to 776 of the family's 1533-position model. The record is from RNAcentral.